CAUAAAAUAAAAGGUGAUUCCUGCCCAGUGAAUUUUAAACGGCCGCUAGUGUGCUAAGGUAGCAUAAUAACUUGCCUUUUAAUUGGAGGCUUGCAUGAAUGGACCUGUAAAUUAAAACUUUUUUACACUAAAGACUAUAACCUAAGAUUAAUGUGCAAACUCAUUAAUAAUUAUAAAAGACCAAAAGACCCCAGGAACUUUAAUUUUAACUUUAACCCUAUUAAGGAAAAAUUUACACCGGGAGAGUGAAGGAUAAACAUCCUUAAAAAAUUUAUUAUCCCCCUUUUAAAUAAAUAUUUAAGCUACCCUGGGGAUAACAGGCUACUCUUUUUUCAAAGCUCAAAUUUACAAAAAGACUUAGCACCUCGAUGUUGGCUUAAGAGUAUGUAAAAUGUAGCAGUUUUACUCAAUGGCUUGUUCCGCCAAUAAUUUCUUACGUGAU
RNAcentral lists this ribosomal RNA (442 nucleotides) under Ophryotrocha cf. batillus JP-2021. RNAcentral's name for it is "partial large subunit ribosomal RNA". It matches the Rfam family "Bacterial large subunit ribosomal RNA", at positions 1839 to 2604 of the family's 2925-position model. Lineage: Eukaryota; Metazoa; Annelida; Polychaeta; Eunicida; Dorvilleidae. The record is from RNAcentral.